This 253-nucleotide ribosomal RNA is filed under the name uncultured bacterium. Its description in RNAcentral is "partial 16S ribosomal RNA". It matches the Rfam family "Bacterial small subunit ribosomal RNA", at positions 524 to 776 of the family's 1533-position model. The record is from RNAcentral.
UCCGGAGGGGGCAGUCGUUAUUCGGAAUUAUUGGGCGUAAAGGGCGCGUAGGCGGCUUGACAAGUCAGGGGUGAAAUCCCUCGGCUCAACCGGGGAACUGCCUCUGAAACUGUCAAGCUUGAGUCCGGGAGAGGGUAGUGGAAUUCCCAGUGUAGCGGUGAUAUGCGUAGAUAUUGGGAGGAACACCAGUGGCGAAAGCGGCUACCUGGACCGGUACUGACGCUGAGGCGCGAAAGCGUGGGGAGAAAACAGG